CCUGCCUUAGCCAGCACAGAUAGUGAAGUAGGCUCCCCGUCAGCACCUGCUUUCUUGCUUUAUGAUGAGAGACAAUGGCUCACAUUGUGCGAGGCUGGGACCCGAUAUUGGUUGUCAGUCCUCUUGUUUUGCACGGAAGGAAAAGGGCAGGAGCAGAGCAGAGAAAAUGCACCAGGGAAAUCCACGCACAACAGACGCUGGGGGGAGCGGCGGGACGGCGCCGCGCAUGGACGCAAUGGGGCGCCACUACACCGCACUGCCACGCGCGGUCGCUAGAGGGCGCUGCGACACCGCGGUCUCGGCUGGGCGCCCCCGGCGCCGCAUUCCCUCCUUAGCGGCGGCGCCCCGCUCUGCUCCCUCCCCGCGCCCUCCGCCCACGGGCGCAGCGCCGCGCAGCCCCGACCCGCGGCACGUGGGUGCGGUCAGUUCGGACUGCUGUGAACGGGAAGGGAUGAGGCUGUGGUGCGCUCAGACAUCUCUUUAAAGCGCCGUUUUUUCUGUAGCUCUGUAAUAGGAGUGAAGAAGGAUUUCUCUGAGAACUUUUAAAGUCACGUCAGCAUGUGAUUAGACUUCAGAUAUUCGGAAUGGGUUCGUGCGCCGUUCGGAACCUCGGGCAGCGGCAGCCGUGUCCGUGUCCGUGCUGUGCUCGGCUCCGAUCGCUCCUUAACGCCGGGGCUGUGGCUCUGCAGCGCUGCCCGCUGCCCUGGCACUGAUCUGCGGGGCCUCAGACAUAAUGCGUGUGUGAGGAGUUCCGUAUCGAAGUUAAAAGGACGCAUUAAAAUAAAUAAGAUAAGGUAUCCUGGCUGCGAGCUCCUAAGGCAGCCCAGCCAGAUAACUACAACGGGACCCGAGUUCUCGGCAAUGAUAGCGCAGGUCAGCAAAGGAAGUGAAGCAAUUACGUUCCAAACACACUCAGCUGAUGGAUCUCAGCGAGCUGGGCUUGCAGGCAGACUUCGGCAGAGCCUUUUGUGCUCUCGACCAUAGAAAACAAGCAAUAGAAAAGCUUAACUUCCUGGACCUGUGCUGAAUACUAAGUUAUCAAAAGAGUACCUCAUUAUUAUACUACUUUUUACAAGGAAACAGUGGGCAGAGGAAAUGUGACUCAGUGCAAACACUGGGAUAAAAAGGUACUGUGCAAAUGAACAAACAAACCACUUGCAAGCAAGCUCCGCUGAGCCCGCUGUCGCAUUCUUGUUGAGUCUCAGGGCAUUUUAGGACCUGCUCCAAAAGGGUUCUUCGUUAUUCAUACAGCUAAAAAUAGACCUGACGUCUCAAUUGCGGUGCUCAGCCAGAGCUCAGAGCCAAAGAACACUGAUUCAUUGAAUCCGAACCUUUGGGCCCUUCCAGAAAACCACAAGGUAGGUGACAAAGUUCCAGUGAAGUUGAUCCAAACGUUGACAACAUCGGCCUUUGUCCUCUGACAGUGCCUCUCCUUUCCAGAUUAUGACUAUUUGCUAGCAAGAAUAUUGCAACUAAAUAUACACAAAAGCCAGAGAUUGCAAAACAGUCGCCCUGGGGAUGUUAAAACAAACAGAAAUCCCACAUGUAUUUUUCCUCUUUCAGUGUCUGCCAAAGUCUGAUUGCUGCUCUGAAGGCUGCUUUGUGCCAUCUUUUCUCUCCAUUUCUUCUCAUGAAUGGACUUUUGUCCACUCCUCUUCUAUGUCCUCCACAUUAGCCUUAACAUCAUAAGACUCCUUAUUUUUCAUAUGGAAAGCCCAGUGUACGCAAGGUCUGUUUCCUCAGCUCACCGUCAGAGGAAAGGAUGCUGAGCACACGUCGUGCAGAAGGGAUCAGAACAGAGAUACGGUCUUUGUCUGCUGGGAACCACUGAAAAAAAGGGGUAACUAAAGAAACUUCUGUGGAGGAAUGAAAAGUAGAGCAAUGACUCCUGUCAGAGGAGGGGAUGGGUGAUGCUGCAGGUUGGAGGCCAGGCUGCCUCGGGAGGAGCAGAAUGAAGGGCACGAACCUUACCCUUACCCUGCUUCCCUUACCGCGUCCAUCAAAGCCCCACUUUCCACUGUUUUAGCAGCAGACAGCUGAAGGCAUAAACUUCGUCUCUUUUGAAUCAAUGCCGUGGUAAAACUCCUCUGUAGGAGCAUGGCAAAAAUCACAUCCCCACCUCACUAACACCUACACACCCUCAAUAUUAAGAGCAACUGCCUCGUGUUUGAAAAGUUCUGGGAGUGUUUGAAGUGCUGAAUGCCGCUGUUCUGUGCCAUCCACUUUUCCCUCUCCUCCCACAGAUGUGUUUGUCUCAGCGUGACGCUGUACUGGCAGGCAGAGAGGAGCAGCACAGCAGCACAGCUCUGAGUUCGCAGCCUGGGGUCAGAUCUCACCCUUCACCUCUUGGGCUCCUUUGUUACAUCAAC
Molecule: long non-coding RNA, 2369 nt
Filed under: Pavo cristatus (Indian peafowl)
Lineage: Eukaryota; Metazoa; Chordata; Aves; Galliformes; Phasianidae
Description: lncRNA (ENSPSTG00000002871.1)
Source: RNAcentral